Molecule: ribosomal RNA, 288 nt
Filed under: Triticum aestivum (bread wheat)
Lineage: Eukaryota; Viridiplantae; Streptophyta; Magnoliopsida; Poales; Poaceae
Description: partial small subunit ribosomal RNA
Source: RNAcentral
AUGGGCCAGCCCAAGCUGGUUUUAAUUUUUGUUUCGAAUUGGUCGGGUCCUCUUUUACCUUGAAAAACUAUAGAGUUACCCCACGGGGAAUUAAUAGUGACCACGAAUGAUAUAAAUACUACUGUUGCUUUAGCUUUACUCACGUCAGAGGCAUAUUUUUAUGCUGGUCUUAGCAUAAAAGGAGUGAGCUAUUUCCAAAAUUAUUAAACCAACUCUAACCUUUUACCAAUUAACAUCCUAGAAGAUUUCAUAAAACCAUUCCCCCCUCAGUUUUUGGUAAAUUUCUAG